Molecule: non-coding RNA, 142 nt
Organism: Extremus antarcticus
Lineage: Eukaryota; Fungi; Ascomycota; Dothideomycetes; Mycosphaerellales; Extremaceae
Source: the annotation of a GenBank genome assembly
UCCUGGAUAGUUCGAUUGGUCAGAAUGUGCGUUUUCCGCCCUCAUCCGGCGAUAUCAGCUGCUGACAUAGUUUAUAGGGCCGCCCGUCUCUCGCAACGAACGAAGAUCGCGAAUGAUGGAGGUUCGAGUCCUUCUCUGGGAG